CCUACGGGUGACAGCAGUGAGGAAUAUUGGUCAAUGGCCGGAAGGCUGAACCAGCCAUGCCGCGUGAAGGGCAGGGCCCUAUGGGCGUUAAACUUCUUUUGUGCGGGAGCAAUAAUGGUCACGUGUGGCCAGACGAGAGUACCGUACGAAUAAGCAUCGGCUAACUCCGUGCCAGCAGCCGCGGUAAUACGGGGGAUGCAAGCGUUAUCCGGAUUUAUUGGGUUUAAAGGGUGCGUAGGCUGUGAGGUAAGUCAGCGGUGAAAUGCCCCCGCUCAACGGGGUGAAGUGCCAUUGAUACUGCCUGGCUGGAAUGCGGAUGCCGUGGGAGGAAUGUGUGGUGUAGCGGUGAAAUGCAUAGAUAUCACGCAGAACACCGAUUGCGAAGGCAUCUCACGAAUCCGCGAUUGACGCUGAUGCACGAAAGCGUGGGUAUCAAACAGGAUUAGAUACCCUUGUAGUC
Molecule: ribosomal RNA, 460 nt
Filed under: uncultured bacterium
Lineage: Bacteria
Description: partial 16S ribosomal RNA
Rfam family: Bacterial small subunit ribosomal RNA
Source: RNAcentral